Molecule: long non-coding RNA, 234 nt
Filed under: Elaeis guineensis (African oil palm)
Lineage: Eukaryota; Viridiplantae; Streptophyta; Magnoliopsida; Arecales; Arecaceae
Description: long non-coding RNA (EGUI_LNC000681)
Source: RNAcentral
CUUUGGGCCUCCUUUCCAAGCCCAAGCCUGCUCUAUGCUAGGCCUUAGGCUUCUGGGCUGAGCCUCGGGCUAACCUAGAUGAGGUAAAAGUGAGGAGGCGAGAUGUUAGCAAGGAGGUGACUAGAGUCGAGAAGUGAAGAUAAUGUGAGGAGAAAGUUAAAAGAAUGGGAUGAUGCGAGAAGAUGAUGAUGAGGAGGAGGAGGUGGAGAGGCGGUAAGGCAGUUAAGAGGAGGA